Molecule: ribosomal RNA, 497 nt
Filed under: uncultured bacterium
Lineage: Bacteria
Description: partial 16S ribosomal RNA
Rfam family: Bacterial small subunit ribosomal RNA
Source: RNAcentral
GACGAACGCUGGCGGCGUGCCUAAUACAUGCAAGUUGAGCGCUGAAGGUUGGUACUUGUACCAACUGGAUGAGCAGCGAACGGGUGAGUAACGCGUGGGGAAUCUGCCUUUGAGCGGGGGACAACAUUUGGAAACGAAUGCUAAUACCGCAUAAAAACUUUAAACACAAGUUUUAAGUUUGAAAGAUGCAAUUGCAUCACUCAAAGAUGAUCCCGCGUUGUAUUAGCUAGUUGGUGAGGUAAAGGCUCACCAAGGCGAUGAUACAUAGCCGACCUGAGAGGGGGCUCGGCCACAUUGGGACGGGGACACCGCCCAAACGCCUACGGGAGGCAGCAGUAGGGGAUCUUCGGCAAUGGACGAAAGUCUGACCGAGCAACGCCGCGUGAGUUGAGAAGGGUUUCGGAUCGUAAAACUCUGUUGGUAGAGAAGAACGUUGGUGAGAGUGGAAAGCUCAUCAAGUGACGGUAACUACCCAGAAAGGGACGGCUAACUACGUG